GGGGAAGAAAGUGGGACUUCUAAAUUCAGUGGGAAGAGAGAAAGAAUGGUAAUGGUUUCUGGAGAGGAGCAACAGUAAAUACAUGCAUUGUAUUUUUCCCAUAUCUGAAGCAAAAGCCAUAGCACUAUGAUUUAAACUUGCAGUCACCAGAAUGCUUUUUUUUUUUUUUUCCUUUUGUAGUAUAUUCUUGUGCUGAGUCUUCAUAUCUUAUCCUAGGUUUCAUACAUCUUAGGGAGCAUUAGUAUAACAAAUUUAGAGUGCUUCAAACCUCUAAGGCUUAUUAUUUUAUUACUAGGAUCUUGUAACUUAAGCAGCAUACAGAUGAAAGUUUGUCAGCAUUGCCUGAUUAUUUUUAAGGGAAAAUGUUCCUGACUACUAGGAGCUAGAGACAGAUCACACCUGAGAAAGGAACUCUCAAAUCAGGUUCUUGGUCUAUAUAAGCAUCUCUCACACAUGCAGCUGGUUUGAUAUGAUGACAACACUCCCUGUGCCCUCAGCAGAGAGGGGCUUCCUAAUAUAGAGCAGUUUCAAGGAGACAUUCUCCAAGUAAUUUUGGACUCAUGUUUAGCAUUCCUGUCAAGAACUACGGUUUCAUCCUUAACAUUAGAAAAGCAGAACUUGAGAAGAACUGUCAGGCACCAGAUCUGAUGGCAACAACAAUUGCAGUGGGUGAGAACAAACUUUCCCAGCAUUACCUUCCUGUAAGGGUAACUUAAAAAAGGCUAUGAUGGAUGUAUCAAGUGAGAUUUUUCUUCAAUAUGUGAAUUUCUCAGACCUCAGACUGAACCUGAACCUGAUGUGUGUCAGGAUGGCAGGUUUCAGAAGACUUGUAUACUAAACUUCUCAGCUUUUAUAGCUAGUUGAAGAUAACUCAUGAAAUUGAAGAUCCAGUCAUUCCCG
This 900-nucleotide long non-coding RNA is filed under the name Anas platyrhynchos platyrhynchos (common mallard). Its description in RNAcentral is "lncRNA (ENSAPLG00000026610.1)". The record is from RNAcentral. Lineage: Eukaryota; Metazoa; Chordata; Aves; Anseriformes; Anatidae.